UACGUAGGGGGCAAGCGUUGUCCGGAUUUAUUGGGCGUAAAGAGCUCGUAGGUGGUUUGGUAAGUCGGAUGUGAAAUCUCCAGGCUCAACCUGGAGGGGUCAUUCGAUACUGCCAUGACUAGAGGUCGGUAGGGGAGUGUGGAAUUCCUGGUGGAGCGGUGAAAUGCGCAGAUAUCAGGAAGAACACCAACGGCGAAGGCAGCUCGCUGGGACGGUACUGACGCUGAGACGCGAAAGCGUGGGGAGCGAACAGG
RNAcentral lists this ribosomal RNA (254 nucleotides) under uncultured bacterium. Its description in RNAcentral is "partial 16S ribosomal RNA". It matches the Rfam family "Bacterial small subunit ribosomal RNA", at positions 524 to 776 of the family's 1533-position model. The record is from RNAcentral.